This 1184-nucleotide long non-coding RNA is filed under the name Oreochromis niloticus (Nile tilapia). RNAcentral describes it as "lncRNA (ENSONIG00000039767.1)". Lineage: Eukaryota; Metazoa; Chordata; Actinopteri; Cichliformes; Cichlidae. The record is from RNAcentral.
AUGCUCAUCUGCACUGCACAGAGGAAAUCAACUGACCGAGGAGUGUUUCUGAGUGAGGGAGAGAGGAGUCAUCAUCCAGGUAAAGUGACGUGGAUCAGUGGAUACACUUGUCUCACCUUUAAAGGAGAUACUCUUAGAGAGAGACGAAUCGUAAUGAUCAUGAUUACAAUGAUGACAGCGAGCGGAACUAAGACUGUAAAAAUCCACGACCAGAAUGUUUAGAUGCUUUCUAAUUAUUCAUGAAUACUGAGAGCCUCUUUCUGUGUUUUGUCUGUUUUGUUUUUUUUUACCUCAUUUGUUACUAACAAAGAUCACCAAACUCACACAGUUUACAUUCUGUAUGUUUCCAUCUUUACCAGCCACACUCUGCCUGCAAUUAAGAAAAUAAUCCUUAGCAAUCGUCAUUUUUCUCUUUUGUAAUUGAUGAUAAUUCAGUGAAUAUACUGCGCUGCUUCCUUUUAUUGCGUCUCAUAUUGCUUUAAGUUUUUCAGUGUACAGUUAUUUUUUUACUUCUGUUUGAAUUAAGAUAAGAUAAGAUAACCUUUAUUAGUCCCACACGUGGGAAAUUUCUCUGUAUGUUUGACCCUGUAGACUGUUUGAUGGACUGCUUGUCUUCCUGUUUGUAACCGCCGCCUGUUUUUGACUAAAGAUUUGGAUUUCUGACUUUAACACAGCCUCUGCGUGUCCUCCCUUUGUGUCCUCUUCCUCUGUGAAUGUGUUGCAUGUGUCACAGAUUCAUUUUAUUAACAGCUUUCCCACAGUGAAUUGCAUCAGCAUUCACUCACAGCACAUUGCAGAAGGAUUCAGAUUAAUACAGUGAUCUUACAGUCAGCAUUAUCCUGACAGAGUGCCACUGUAAAUUAUCUUUCAUCAGGUCAAUUUUAAAGUUCAGUAUUUCAAAGCAGGAGUUAUGAAGAAUCAUAUUGGCAUUAGGACUGUAACAAUAUGUACUUACAAAGUCAAAGUUUUUUUUAAUUAUGUUAGAAUAUUGGAAGAGAAUCAACUUUUAGUGUUUUCUGCAUAUUAAUUAUACUGAAAUAGAGAUGGUGACCCUAACUGUACAGAAGUAUACUAAACAACUGACAAUCUAACAAACAUUACUGGCCUGAGCCAUCAUGCACAGUGAGUCUGAUCCUGUGCUGUGAGAGUCUGAUAAGCAUGUUUCUGGUCAGUUUGGAAGAAAU